GAUGAAGAACGCAGCGAAAUGCGAUAAGUAAUGUGAAUUGCAGAAUUCAGUGAAUCAUCGAAUCUUUGAACGCACAUUGCGCCCGCCAGUAUUCUGGCGGGCAUGCCUGUCCGAGCGUCAUUUCAACCCUCGAACCCCUCCGGGGGGUCGGCGUUGGGGAUCGGGAACCCCUAAGACGGGAUCCCGGCCCCGAAAUACAGUGGUGGUCUCGCCGCAGCCUCUCCUGCGCAGUAGUUUGCACAACUCGCACCGGGAGCGCGGCGCGUCCACGUCCGUAAAACACCCAACUUCUGAAAUGUUGACCUCGGAUCAGGUAGGAAUACCCGCUGAACUUAAGCAUAUCAAUAAGCGGAGGA
Molecule: unclassified non-coding RNA, 356 nt
Filed under: soil metagenome
Description: partial contains 5.8S ribosomal RNA, internal transcribed spacer 2, and large subunit ribosomal RNA
Rfam family: 5.8S ribosomal RNA (bases 1-120)
Source: RNAcentral